RNAcentral lists this small nucleolar RNA (139 nucleotides) under Dasypus novemcinctus (nine-banded armadillo). RNAcentral's name for it is "Small nucleolar RNA SNORA8 (ENSDNOG00000031186.1)". It matches the Rfam family "Small nucleolar RNA SNORA8". Rfam says of the family: ACA8 is a member of the H/ACA class of snoRNA that guide the sites of modification of uridines to pseudouridines. The record is from RNAcentral. Lineage: Eukaryota; Metazoa; Chordata; Mammalia; Cingulata; Dasypodidae.
UGCACUGCAUGGUCUCUGCACUCAGCAUUUUUCUCCUGCUGGGGUAUUCAAAAGAAAGUGCUAUAAAAAUUCAGUAUCUGGCAUUGCUGGUCUUCUUGGCUCUGUGCAUGUUACACCUGGUAUUUCUAUUGGUGCAGCA